CAGCAGCCACGGUAAUACAGAGGGUGCGAGCGUUAAUCGGAUUUACUGGGCGUAAAGCGUGCGUAGGCGGCUUUUUAAGUCGGAUGUGAAAUCCCUGAGCUUAACUUAGGAAUUGCAUUCGAUACUGGGAAGCUAGAGUAUGGGAGAGGAUGGUAGAAUUCCAGGUGUAGCGGUGAAAUGCGUAGAGAUCUGGAGGAAUACCGAUGGCGAAGGCAGCCAUCUGGCCUAAUACUGACGCUGAGGUACGAAAGCAUGGGGAGCAAACAGGAUUAGAUACCCAGUAGUCCCUGUCUCUUAUACA
Molecule: ribosomal RNA, 301 nt
Filed under: uncultured bacterium
Lineage: Bacteria
Description: partial 16S ribosomal RNA
Rfam family: Bacterial small subunit ribosomal RNA
Source: RNAcentral